CCAAGGAGUCUAACAUGUAUGCGAGUCAUUGGGAAUUACUAAACCCAAAGGCAUAAUGAAAGUAAAGAUCCAAUAUUAUGGAUAUGAGGAGAGAUCAUGGCUUUAAGUCUUGGUAUUCCGUAAGGUUUAUUGAGUAAAGUAUGCGCAUCUCCUGGAUGUCUUAACCUCUGAAGGUAGGGCAUACCUAGAGCAUACACGUUGGGACCCGAAAGAUGGUGAACUAUGCCUGGUCAGAACGAAGUCAGGGGAAACCCUGAUGGAGGUUCGUAGCGAUUCUGACGUGCAAAUCGAUCGUCGGAACUGGGUAUAGGGGCGAAAGACUAAUCGAACCAUCUAGUAGCUGGUUCCCUCCGAAGUUUCCCUUAGGAUAGCUGGCGCUUAUACCAGUCUCAUCCGGUAAAGCGAAUGAUUAGAGGCCUUGGGGCCGAAACGACCUCAACCUAUUCUCAAACUUUAAAUGGGUGAGAAGUUAGGCUUGCUUGAAUUGAAGUUCUAACAAUGGAUGGUGAGUGCCAAGUGGGCCACUCUUGGUAAGCAGGACUGGCGCUGUGGGAUGAACCAAACGUUGAGUUAAGGCGCCCGAAUCGACGCUCAUGAGAUCCCAUAAAAGGCGUUGGUUGCUUAAGACAGCAGGACGGUGGCCAUGGAAGUCGGAA
This 656-nucleotide ribosomal RNA is filed under the name Anurida sp. TN-2018. RNAcentral describes it as "eukaryotic LSU rRNA". It matches the Rfam family "Eukaryotic large subunit ribosomal RNA", at positions 666 to 1266 of the family's 3401-position model. The record is from RNAcentral. Lineage: Eukaryota; Metazoa; Arthropoda; Collembola; Poduromorpha; Neanuridae.